This 605-nucleotide ribosomal RNA is filed under the name uncultured Lactococcus sp. RNAcentral describes it as "bacterial SSU rRNA". It matches the Rfam family "Bacterial small subunit ribosomal RNA", at positions 928 to 1532 of the family's 1533-position model. The record is from RNAcentral. Lineage: Bacteria; Bacillati; Bacillota; Bacilli; Lactobacillales; Streptococcaceae.
AGCGGUGGAGCAUGUGGUUUAAUUCGAAGCAACGCGAAGAACCUUACCAGGGUCUUGACAUACUCGUGCUAUUCCUAGAGAUAGGAAGUUCCUUCGGGACACGGGAUACAGGUGGUGCAUGGUUGUCGUCAGCUCGUGUCGUGAGAUGUUGGGUUAAGUCCCGCAACGAGCGCAACCCUUAUUGUUAGUUGCCAUCAUUAAGUUGGGCACUCUAGCGAGACUGCCGGUAAUAAACCGGAGGAAGGUGGGGAUGACGUCAAAUCAUCAUGCCCCUUAUGACCUGGGCUACACACGUGCUACAAUGGUUGGUACAACGAGUCGCAAGACAGUGAUGUCAAGCUAAUCUCUUAAAGCCAAUCUCAGUUCGGAUUGUAGGCUGCAACUCGCCUACAUGAAGUCGGAAUCGCUAGUAAUCGCGGAUCAGCACGCCGCGGUGAAUACGUUCCCGGGCCUUGUACACACCGCCCGUCACACCACGAGAGUUUGUAAUACCCAAAGCCGGUGAGCUAACCUUUUAGGAGGCAGCCGUCUAAGGUAGGAUAGAUGAUUGGGGUGAAGUCGUAACAAGGUAGCCGUAUCGGAAGGUGCGGCUGGAUCACCUCCUU